UGGGGAAUAUUGGACAAUGGGCGCAAGCCUGAUCCAGCCAUGCCGCGUGAGUGAUGAAGGCCCUAGGGUUGUAAAGCUCUUUCAGCGAGGAGGAUAAUGACGUUACUCGCAGAAGAAGCCCCGGCUAACUUCGUGCCAGCAGCCGCGGUAAUACGAAGGGGGCUGGCGUUGUUCGGAAUCACUGGGCGUAAAGCGCACGUAGGCGGACUUUUAAGUCAGGGGUGAAAUCCCGGGGCUCAACCUCGGAACUGCCUUUGAUACUGGAAGUCUGGAGGCCGAGAGAGGUGAGUGGAAUUCCGAGUGUAGAGGUGAAAUUCGUAGAUAUUCGGAAGAACACCAGUGGCGAAGGCGGCUCACUGGCUCGGUACUGACGCUGAGGUGCGAAAGCGUGGGGAGCAAA
RNAcentral lists this ribosomal RNA (400 nucleotides) under uncultured bacterium. RNAcentral's name for it is "bacterial SSU rRNA". It matches the Rfam family "Bacterial small subunit ribosomal RNA", at positions 355 to 772 of the family's 1533-position model. The record is from RNAcentral.